Molecule: long non-coding RNA, 318 nt
Filed under: Populus trichocarpa (black cottonwood)
Lineage: Eukaryota; Viridiplantae; Streptophyta; Magnoliopsida; Malpighiales; Salicaceae
Description: long non-coding RNA (PTRI_LNC000556)
Source: RNAcentral
ACAUCAUCACCCAGGAAUUAUUCUGGAUUUUCCACCAUGGUUGAAAUUUAGACAAGGGAAGUGCGUGGUGGGUUCAGAUUCGCCGGCCUUAGUGAUCAACGAGGAGAGACGCAGACGCCAGCAAACAUCCAAAAGUCUAUAUCGUUUUCAAUCACUAGGCCAUAUUGUCGCCGAUCUAAUUACAUUUGUUGAACAUCAUACACCUUUCACUUGUCCUAAUGCCCUGCCUUCGUGUCAUUCACAGGUCCUAUGCAGAGCCACUCAAAAUCUUACUUCAAGAUUAUCUGGGCAGACUUGAUGGCUCAGUUUUGUGCCUCC